GGGGGCGACCGGUUUCGAUUGUGUAGGUGGCUCCGUGGCAGCGUGCCCAGGUCCUCGGGUUCCUGGUAAAACACUCGGGAAAAUUCCAAUCGCGAACAACAACUUCGCCCUGGCUGCGUAACCUGGCCUAACGGCCCGUUACACCAGCAGUGCUCCUCAGGAAGCCCACCCGGGGCGGCUUGAGGAGUAUCGCAAAUCCGGGGGUAGGGCAGUCGUCCGCCGUCGGCGGCUGCGCGAAACUUUAGACGGCUCAUCCAGCAGUGGGCGGCCUGUCGGCCAGCGGCUGGAAACAUCAAUCGACGGGCUACGCACGUAGACGCAACGGAAGAUCUUAUGCAAGACGGGAGUUCGAUUCUCCCCGCCUCCACUU
RNAcentral lists this transfer-messenger RNA (370 nucleotides) under Gemmatimonadota bacterium. It matches the Rfam family "transfer-messenger RNA". From Rfam's summary of the family: Bacterial tmRNA, also known as 10Sa RNA or SsrA, is named for its dual tRNA and mRNA-like properties. Its role is to liberate the mRNA from a stalled ribosome. The record is from RNAcentral. Lineage: Bacteria; Pseudomonadati; Gemmatimonadota.